GCCUGGAUAGCUCAGUUGGCUGGAGCGUGGUGCCGAUAACGCCAAGGUUGCAGGUUCGAAGCGGCUUAUUCCUGCCUUGUGGGCG
Molecule: non-coding RNA, 85 nt
Organism: Podarcis lilfordi (Lilford's wall lizard)
Lineage: Eukaryota; Metazoa; Chordata; Lepidosauria; Squamata; Lacertidae
Source: the annotation of a GenBank genome assembly